RNAcentral lists this long non-coding RNA (1652 nucleotides) under Rattus norvegicus (Norway rat). RNAcentral describes it as "long non-coding RNA NONRATT011178". Lineage: Eukaryota; Metazoa; Chordata; Mammalia; Rodentia; Muridae. The record is from RNAcentral.
UUUUUUUUUUUUUUUUUGCAGCCUAAUAGCAAUCAAAUGUUUAAAAAUUAAAAAUGUUGUUCCAUAUUUGAAAGUAAUAUCCAAUUAUGAAAAUUAAGUAAUUCAUAGUCUGAAGGAAACAACCUGAGUGUUGUAAUAUCUCAGAAGUGUACUAAUAGGUUUUCUGAAAUGUUCUCUAUGCAUUUUUUUAAAAAAAAUGUAAACUUGACAUUUUAGGGUCUUCAGUUCUAAAUACACCUGUUAUAAGGUGUUUAAUACAGCUCAGGAAAGUGAGCAUUCUGUGAGAGACAUGUAUGACAGCGCUCAGAAGACACUGGGUGAAUGUUUUCAAACAUAAUGAAGCUGUUUUAAAAAUAAAGAUAUAAAUAUCAAAGAACUUAGAACACUGAUAAAUGUUGCCGUGGUUAUUAAGGAGGGCACACAGAGAGAGCCGGGAUCAAAUCUAGAGGAAUCUGUGGAGUAGGAGAGAGCUAGCACUUAGCUUUGUAUAAACUUUAGGUCCCUGUGUAAAAUGCUAAACCACAUGCACUCUUUGUUCUGUCACUAAUGUCCUUGGUGCCUGAGGCUUUGUAUGUAAAGGAAUGCUUUACUCUCUCUAAAUCUUUAUUUAAACUAGUCUUAAACUAUUACACAACAAUUUAAAUGAAAAUUUUACUUAAAAACCCAACUGAAAUAAUUAAAAGUAGAACUUUAUAAAUUGUUUCAGAACAGUUUGAUGAAAGAAUAUUAGUCUCAGUGAACCGUAGUGAUGGCUCAUGCUUUCAAGUUUGGAGUGACAUAGCUACAAUAAAUACAGCUUUAAAAAUGAAAGAGUAUCUGUACAGCUCAGAAACACUAAAUUAAAAAAAAUAUAUUUCAUUAUAACUCGAGUAAAUACUACUCAGUGAACUGGAACAUUUUAAUAGGAAAAUACAGUUUUGUGAUUGUCAAUUUGGUUGAAACUGGUAUUUUAUAUUUAAGUUAUGUAGCUUUUCCUAUUACUUUCAUACAAAUAAAGGUAGAUUCUAGACUCUAUAUAGUAUAAAGAUACUAAGGUUUGGGGGUCUUUGUUCUGUUUUGUUUUUUUAGGUACUGUAUGAGCUUGGGUUCUGGGCACUAGUGCUAACAGACGCCUGCUCUGAGAGAAGUUAGAAGUGGUUCACCCCAGCAGCAUGUUUCAGUGGGGCUUUUAUAAAGCCUGAGGCUAUGGAAGCUAACAGUCCUAAAGACAGAUGACCUAACUAAGAACAAAAGAGAGUGUGGCUUUCUACACAGCUUAAACUUCAGAAGUGAUGGCGUUCUUUCAGGCACGGCAGUUGAGAAGGAAAAGACCGGCCCAGAGUUCCACGUCAAAGGCAACUCUGAGAACAUUUUACCCUUACUGAAUAGUAGGGAGCUCUGGCUGUAUAGGAAAUACUUGUGCUAGUUGGUUAGGUUCUGGGUUAUUUUUUUUAACUUUUCUGAACAACAUUGAAAAAUGGAUUUGAUGGUAUAUAGUCAGUUUUACUAACCAAAGCUUUAUUUGAAAACUUAACUUUUUGUACAAAUUGAAUUACAUGCUUGAAUACUUUAAGUCACUUUAUAAGCAAAAUGCAUAGCAUUUAAUUUGUUUAUACUGUAAAAUAUAUGUUAAAUGGUUUUAUCAAUUUGAGAAUAAAGAUAGUUACUACUGC